This 400-nucleotide ribosomal RNA is filed under the name uncultured bacterium. RNAcentral describes it as "bacterial SSU rRNA". It matches the Rfam family "Bacterial small subunit ribosomal RNA", at positions 355 to 747 of the family's 1533-position model. The record is from RNAcentral.
UGGGGAAUUUUGGACAAUGGGGGCAACCCUGAUCCAGCAAUGCCGCGUGUGCGAAGAAGGCCUUCGGGUUGUAAAGCACUUUUGGCGGGAACGAAACGGCGUCUGUUAAUACCAGAUGCUAAUGACGGUACUCGCAGAAUAAGCACCGGCUAACUACGUGCCAGCAGCCGCGGUAAGACGUAGGGUGCAAGCGUUAAUCGGAAUUACUGGGCGUAAAGCGUGCGCAGGCGGUUUCGUAAGACAGGCGUGAAAUCCCCGGGCCUAACCUGGGAACUGCGCUUGUGACUGCGAGACUAGAGUGUGUCAGAGGGAGGUGGAAUUCCGCGUGUAGCAGUGAAAUGCGUAGAGAUGCGGAGGAACACCGAUGGCGAAGGCAGCCUCCUGGGAUAACACUGACGCU